UACUAGAGGUACUAGUGGUACUAGAGGUACUCACCCCUACUAGACAGGAUGGUCUCACUAGACACCGUGUGAGUCACCAAGUCAUACUGGAGCAGGCUGUACUAGUAGUGUGUGUACUAGUGGUACUAGUAGUGUGUGUACUAG
This is a non-coding RNA of Petromyzon marinus (sea lamprey), 144 nucleotides long. The record is from RefSeq and is a predicted model, not a curated record. NCBI's taxonomy places the organism in Eukaryota, Metazoa, Chordata, Hyperoartia, Petromyzontiformes, Petromyzontidae.